This is a long non-coding RNA of Equus caballus (horse), 3040 nucleotides long. The record is from Ensembl. Lineage: Eukaryota; Metazoa; Chordata; Mammalia; Perissodactyla; Equidae.
GAUAUAGCCCAGGAAUAGUUAGCUGGAAGAGAUGCAUAGGGCAAAGUACAGGGAAAGGGCGCCGAGCUUCCAUGCCCUCCUGGAGCACACCUUUCUCCCCGAACCUCCACAUGUUCACCAACCCAGAAGCUCUCCAAACUCCAUCCUUCUGGGUUUUUAUAGAAGCUUUAUUACAUAGGCAUGAUUGAUUAAAUCAUUGGUCAUUGGUAAUUGAACUCAAUCUCCAGCCCCUCGCCUCUCCCCAAGGUUGGGGAGGGGAAUGAAAGUGCCAACCCUCUAAUCACACUGUUGCUUCCUCUGGCAACCAGCAUCCAUCCUUAGGAAGUCAUCUCAUUAAUAUAACAAGAGACGACUGCAUCUCACUCAUAGGAAAGCCCAAGGGUUUUAGGAGCUCUGUACCAGAAACGGGUCAAAGAACAAAUAUAUAUUUCCUAUUAUAAAUCACCACAUCUCAUCUUCAAAACCAGUUCACCACCUACAUGAAGCCUUCUACAUGCCCAGCCUGAAAGUACUCUCUCCUUUUGUUGACGUCUAGUCUGGUGGUACCAAUGCCGGUACCUGUCUCGUACGCUGUUAGAGAUCCGUCUGCAGGCACUCUAGUAGUACCUCCUUCCUCUUUUUGGAAAGUACAUGAGUCAUUCAUCUUCCACCCUACACAGCUCUUACCUGUGGGCCUCACACACAGCAGGUGCUCAGAAAACUUUUGUCAAAGGAGUGGUCAUCUGGAGGGUGUACACGAUAUUGGAAGCGUGUUCUCGGCUUAAGCCAGAUCCUUACUAAGAGUAUCCCCAGGUAAGGAGAAUUGUUGAGAAGUUGAUAACAUUCAGAGGAGAGCCACAGAGAGGAUAAAUAAGUUUAGAAAUAGGCUAAAGGAAGGCAAUUUAAGGGGAAAUAAAACUUGGGAGCUUUCCAGAGAAGUGAGGCACAUUCAUUGAGCUUUUACCCAGAGAACUCACAGCAGCUGUGUUUCUUCCCGAUCAAGACAGAUGAGCAGGGCAUUCACCUAAACAGAAGUAUCAUUGAGAUCACAAAUAGGGAAAAUAUUUCUAAGAGAAGGUGAUUAAACUCUCAGAUGAGUUAUCAUUGGUAGACUUUGAGUCUCCAAAAGGCUAUUAAAAACCAGAUUCCUGUGUGUCAAGGCCAGUGGAGAGGCUCCCUCUGGAAUGAAUGCCACGGAAGGAACUUGACAAUCUGUUCUCUCACACCUCCUGUGCUGGCCAGGUGUCCGCCUGAUGUGGCCCAGCAGUCAGUUCCAGGCUGGUUCCAGCAGGUGGCGGCCGCGCGCAGUGAAAGCCCGCGGGUAGAGCUCGCCAAAAUGGUUAAAAAAAGCAAGUCUACCAGGUUUGAAAGUGCACAGGGACCAGGCAGGGUGUGCAAAGUCGAGGAAGCACACCCCACGGGAGAGCCCAGGAAGCCUGCCCCAGAGAGCCUCUCACGGUCUCCACUCCCGUCCCAUCAGGGCUCCCGGGUGUUAAGAAAAAGGCACUGGGGCACUGGGAAAACCCUCCCUCCAAACAUGGCAUUAUGGCACAGUCAUUUCCAGAAAGUCCCCAGAGCCUGCACUCAGGGAACCAGAGCGGUGUGCCGAGACUCUUUCUGAUUGGCUUCUACAAACCCAAGCAUGGUGAAUAACACUUUACCAAAACUGAAGUAAAAUGAAAUCAAACAAAACACCCUCGGUGGAGAGGAACAAUGGCACAGAUAACUCAAAGGGAAGUAAAUCACUUAUAUUUGACUCUAAAGAUAACACGCACACGCGGUGUCUACCUGCUUACUGUGUUCCCAGGCCUCCUUCUGAGGAGUGCGGUCCUAGGGGCAUCAAGUCUGCUCGUGCUGUGUAGUGGGAAGUCACUGACUCUACUGCCACCCAACAGACGGGUGUUGGGGACUCAGCCAGGGGCAGCCCUAUGGUGGGCAGAGGCCCGCCUCUGCCUAUGAACUGAUCAGGUCUAACAACGUCUCUCACGAGGAUGCUCAGAUUCAGUGUGAGGACCAACCACAUCGGAUCCUCCCAUGAGCAAAGUUCACAUGUGAGAUUCAUCCAGCAAGGUGGUAGGGAGCUGCUGUCAGCCCCCGGAAGAAAGAAGGCCUGCUUUUUCUCUAGUCAUGGAGUUGUUGAGUCCUAGAGUGCCCUAGACUGCUGAGAAGGUUUUCUUUGUGUCCUUACUUCUCCAUCUAACUCAACAACAUCUUUCCAUCACCCCAAAGACCCAAGCACAUCUCUGCGCAGCCUGAAGCGGAUGAUAAACACCAGGAGACUUCCGUGCCAGGCAACCCCCACUACCUGCCAGAGGAGUCUUUCGAAUUCUGUUUUAAUUUGCAUCCCCUGAAGGAAGAGCUCGCUUGGAAAUCUAGGUGGCUGGACCCCCAGAUAUUGCAAUUGUGCUGGGUUGACAGGAUGAGAUGAGCAUGGGUCCCGCAAUGCAGGAAGAAGUACCGUCCUUUCACGGGGCUCCUGUGAGGCGGGGAGGCCCGCUGAGCUGGAAUUCAGGUCUAGUCCUUGAGAAAGGGACCUAAGCGCUCUAAGGCUCCCUUUCCUCCUUUGUAAAACAGGGCUCCUAGUACCUACCUUCAGAGGUUGUAGUAAGAAGUAAAUGAGAUCAUGGAUGCAGAGUACAUCGAAUAGCACCUGCUGGCAUAGUAAGUCCUGAAUAAACGAAGCUGGUGGAUUGCAGCCUGCCUGGAAUGGUCUGCGUGUACCUCAUCCUGGACGCUCAUCUGAAAACCUGGGAGAAGAUGUCCUGCUUCUCUAACAUCCACUGUGGGCUUCCAGGUGGGGUGGGACCUUCUCGUGGGAGCACAGGGAUGUGAGAAUGGAGAGGAAGGUGGCCGCAUUGCCGCUGGGCUUAUUUUUCUAAGCACCAGAUGAAACUUUCUUCCAGGCAAACUUUUUUUACAAAAAUAAUUUGAGACUGUUUUCCAGGGCAAAAUAUACUGUGCAGUCUUUGUGCCCACAGCACCUGUAGGAGGGGGUUGAAUUGAAGUUUUGUUCCAGGUCCUGAAAGUUUAUGGUCCAUUUAGCUGUGAAGCAGGGUUUAAU